Molecule: long non-coding RNA, 528 nt
Filed under: Mytilus galloprovincialis (Mediterranean mussel)
Lineage: Eukaryota; Metazoa; Mollusca; Bivalvia; Mytilida; Mytilidae
Source: RNAcentral
GAAAAGCAUUAUUAUAUUAUCAUUAUAUUGUACAGUGUAAUUAUAAGGAUUUCUAACAAAUCGAAUGUGCUUCAAAUGUUUGAUUUUAAUAAACAAAACACAUUGAAUAUAACAUGUGUGCAAAAUAACACAUGUAAGAAAUAUGACAAACAAAAUUGAUUCAGAACAAAAUGAAUUUCAUGACGGCAAAUAUGAAAUAUACUGUUACUGGAAACGACAGUUCCUUUAUGUGUGACUCAUCUUCCUUUAUUAUAUCAAACAUGUAUGUCUACAAAUACAUUUGAAUAUUUGACGUUCCAUUUGAAUAUGGACGGAUAGUGUAGUUCAUUUCAAAAUGAUGAUAUUAGUAAAAUACAAUAAUAUAAUCGGUGAUUUUAAUUUUUAAUGACUUAUUUUCACCGGUAUAAUUCGAAAAUUUAUUGCUAGUAACAAUUUUUUCCCUUUUUUAACUUUGCAAAAGAGAGGCAAAUGAUUUCAAAAAGAUAAUCAAACUGAUAAAGCUAAAACAACCAGACAAUGAAAUAAAAA